This 2277-nucleotide long non-coding RNA is filed under the name Nicotiana tabacum (common tobacco). Its description in RNAcentral is "long non-coding RNA (NTAB_LNC009947)". The record is from RNAcentral. Lineage: Eukaryota; Viridiplantae; Streptophyta; Magnoliopsida; Solanales; Solanaceae.
AAAUAAAUAAAGUUGAAAAAAUUAAACUUGACUCAAGACACAUUAUGGGAAACGCGUUUCUUUCACGAUCUAUCUUAUCCUUUCAUCGAUAGAAGUUAGCAAUAGCAUUAUUCUCAUAUUGGCGGAAUUAUUAGGGUUGUUUGUCUCCUUAUAUAGUCACAGACUCUCGAGAUAAUUCAUAUUUCAAGACUAGCUAUUUUUUAGAGAUGCAUUAUAUUUAAAAUUCAUUUCUUCGUUCGAGCAUGCGGGGUGUUAAGCAGGGGCUGAGGAAGAGCAUUAAUCGCGGGUUCGAACGAACUCAACUUAAAUUUUGUAUUUAUAUUAGUAAAUACAUAAAAUAUCUAUAAAUAUUUAAUUAUGAACCUAAUAACUAAGAUAAACUAUGAGUUCGUGAUAUAUUGAGAAUCUAUAAACUUUAAAUCCUAACUCCGUAUCUGAUGUUAAGGUGUUCCACAUUUGUUGAGGGAUGGGUUGUUAUAUGGUCUUGGGCAAGAGUUGGAGUCACUGACCUUGUUUUUGUUUUUUUUGGAAAAUUUCUAGGAAACCGUAGCCGCUUCUAUUCGGGUGUGCAUUUGAUAACUAAUUCACUGUGCAAUUGCUCGCAAAUCAUAUAGAAGAUAUAAAUCGCAUUAGGCACGCCCGGUACGACUAGCUCUGACUGAGGAGACUACUGGUGAGGAGAAUCGAUCUCAGAUCUCCCAUGUGAGAAAUCACUCACCCAACUAACUCAAUCAACCCGGAGGCGGGCGUAACUUCACAGUAAGUCUUUGUGAAGGCUUUCUUUUUGUCAUUUUUCUCCCUUGUUUAGAACAAGUUGUUCUGACAGUUGCACGAGACAUUAUUAAGUUCUAUAAAUAGGGGAGAAACAUUGUUUUCCUUUUUACAGUAAAAAACUGAAACUCCAAAUAGCUCAUCAAAAUGUUUUCCAAAACUAACCUUUUUCUUUGCCUUUCUUUGGCUAUUUUGCUAAUUGUAAUAUCCUCACAAGCUGAUGCAAGGGAGACGUCUAAGGCAGCUGCUCCAAUUUCCCAAGGUUUAUUUACUUCUUCUAUCUAUUACUACUCCAGUAGUUAUUUUCAUUUUUAACAUUUUGAGUCUGCGAACGGAUGUUAUAAAUGUUUAAAUAUUCAUGUAACAUUUGGCUUAGAAUUUUGUGAUAUUAAAUAUAUCAUAAUAUCUUAUAAAGAAAUCUCAUUAAUGAAAAAAUUGGAAUUUCGGAAUUAAAUAAUUAUUAAACGUUGGUAGCAUUCUUUGCUGGAGUGAUUUAAAAGGAAAGUAAAACACAUGAUUGAAACGAAGGGAGUAAAUGUUUACAUAAGUAUUAUUUAACAUUUUGCUGAAAGUUUAAUGUCGUUUUGAAACUUUCUGAGACCUUCUACCUGUAUAAUAUUUAGUAAUCUAAGGAUAUCGCAACACCGCAAAAGUUUUUCUUUUUAUCUUUAUUGAAUUUGGUGAUUACUUUUUAUAAUAGUUUAAAUUCUAUUGCUAGAGCAAGGACACUUCAUUUGAAGUAGCGACCUGUCCUGCCAAAUGUGUGAUCAUUUUAUUUAAAACUUAAGUUAUUAGAGGAGGAACCUACGUUCAUCCUAAUUUAUUUAUGUUUGCAGCACUGAGAAUUAAUAUGGUCAUAAAUUAAUUUCCUCCUUUAUUGGUUAACCUAUAACUAAUACAUUACUCUACAUAACCUAAUUUGAUGCAGAAAUGAAUUCAAACAACAUUACUGAUCAGAAGACGGGUGCCGGAAUCAUCCGUAAGAUACCAAAACGUCCAAAACCAGGAGGCAAUAUCGCCGGUGUGAGUUUAGUUUUGAGAAUAAAGGGAAAGUUAUGAAUAGCCUAAUAUAAUUCUAUUCACUUUCCUCUAGUUAAUUUCUCUUAGUUUGUGUUUUGUUUUGUUAGUAGUUCCUAUUGUUGCAACUUGCAACAAGUCUUGGGUCAACAUGUACCUCUUGUCUUGUAGUCUUUCGACCGUAUGAUAUUAUACGAUUUUUCUUUAGCCACUUGUUAUCUGAAACCAAAUCCAAUUAAAUCUAAUUCGCGUUGCAUAGGUUCUACUACAGUUAGACCUCUUUAUAACAUCUUUAUAUAAUAGUCAUUCAAUGUAAAAGCCAAGUUUUUCUUCGAACCCAUUUUUAUAUUAUGUUAUAAUAUAUGUUUUCUAUAACAACACUUCACUAUAGUAGUCAAAAAAUAUCGGAGCAAACGAGGAUGUUAUAAAGAGGUUUGACUGUACAAGAAAACGGUUUCUAUGAAAAAGUUUAUCAUUUUUAGAGUUGGG